CCUACGGGGGGCUGCAGUGGGGGAUAUUGCACAAUGGGGGGAACCCUGAUGCAGCGACGCCGCGUGGGUGAAGGAGCGUUUCGGCGCGUAAAGCCCUAUCGGCAGGGAAGAAGAUGACGGUACGUGACCAAGAAGCCCCGGCUAAAUACGAGCCAGCAGCCGCGGUCAUACGUGGGGGGCAAGCGUUAGCCGGAUUUACUGGGUGUAAAGGGGGCGGAGACGGCAAUGCAAGACCGGAGUGAAAGCCCGGGGCCCAACCCCGGGACUGCUCUUGGAACUGCAUGGCUUGAGUACAGGAGAGGCAGGCGGAAUUCCUAGUGUAGCGGUGAAAUGCGUAGAUAUUAGGAGGAACACCGGUGGCGAAGGCGGCCUGCUGGACUGUGACUGACGUUGAGGCCCGAAGGCGUGGGGAGCAAACAGGAUUAGAUACCCGAGUAGUC
Molecule: ribosomal RNA, 440 nt
Filed under: uncultured bacterium
Lineage: Bacteria
Description: partial 16S ribosomal RNA
Rfam family: Bacterial small subunit ribosomal RNA
Source: RNAcentral